RNAcentral lists this ribosomal RNA (935 nucleotides) under uncultured archaeon. RNAcentral's name for it is "bacterial SSU rRNA". The stretch from base 123 to 935 matches the Rfam family "Archaeal small subunit ribosomal RNA", at positions 1 to 824 of the family's 1478-position model. The record is from RNAcentral.
UUGACCCUCCCGUUCCACUAUUCACACGCAUGGCGAUCUCCGUCGCGCGCGUAAGAUCUUGUCCCCAAAUUGAACCGCCAAGCCCGUACUCUGAAUCGUCCACUCGGCCGAUGACAUCGUCAAUAUCGGUAUAUUUCAGCACGGGCAGGAUCAACCAGUUCGAUUAAGCCAUGCGAGUCGAGAGGUGCAAGACCUCGGCAUACUGCUCAGUAACACGUGGAUAAUCUAACCUGUGGAGGGGGAUAACCCCGGGAAACUGGGGAUAAUACCCCAUAGACUAUGGAUGUUGGAAUGCUCUAUAGCCGAAAGGUCCGCCGCCACAGGAUGAGUCUGCGGCCGAUUAGGUUGUUGUUGGGGUAACGGCCCAACAAGCCUGUAAUCGGUACGGGUUGUGGGAGCAAGAGCCCGGAGAUGGAUUCUGAGACACGAAUCCAGGCCCUACGGGGCGCAGCAGGCGCGAAAACUCUACAAUGCGGGAAACCGUGAUAGGGGAACUCCGAGUGCCCGUAAAUUCGGGCUGUUAAUCUGUGUAAGUAACAGGUUGAGAAAGGGCCGGGCAAGACCGGUGCCAGCCGCCGCGGUAAUACCGGCGGCUCGAGUGGUGGCCACUAUUACUGGGCUUAAAGCGUCCGUAGCUGGGUUAUUAAGUCUCUGGGGAAAUCCACCGGCUCAACCGAUGGGCGUCUCAGGGAUACUGGUAGCCUAGGGACCGGGAGAGGUGAGAGGUACUCCAGGGGUAGGAGUGAAAUCCUGUAAUCCUUGGGGGACCACCUGUGGCGAAGGCGUCUCACCAGAACGGCUCCGACAGUGAGGGACGAAAGCUGGGGGAGCAAACCGGAUUAGAUACCCGGGUAGUCCCAGCCGUAAACGAUGCGCGUUAGGUGUAUCGGUGACCACGAGUCACCGAGGUGCCGAAGGGAAACCGUGAAACGUGC